GUGGGGAAUAUUGCACAAUGGGGGAAACCCUGAUGCAGCGACGCCGCGUGAGUGAAGAAGUAUUUCGGUACGUAAAGCUCUAUCAGCAAGGAAGAAAAUGACGGUACUUGACUAAGAAGCCCCGGCUAACUACGUGCCAGCAGCCGCGGUAAUACGUAGGGGGCAAGUGUUAUCCGGAUUUACUGGGUGUAAAGGGAGCGUAGACGGUAUGGUAAGUCAGAUGUGAAAGCCCGGGGCUCAACCCCGGGACUGCAUUUGAAACUAUCAGACUAGAGUGCAGGAGAGGUAAGUGGAAUUCCUAGUGUAGCGGUGAAAUGCGUAGAUAUUAGGAGGAACACCAGUGGCGAAGGCGGCUUACUGGACUGUAACUGACGUUGAGGCUCGAAAGCGUGGGGAGCAAACAGGAUUAGAUACCCUUGUAGUCC
This 425-nucleotide ribosomal RNA is filed under the name uncultured bacterium. RNAcentral describes it as "partial 16S ribosomal RNA". It matches the Rfam family "Bacterial small subunit ribosomal RNA", at positions 354 to 796 of the family's 1533-position model. The record is from RNAcentral.